UGGCUGGAGAGAGCUGCUGAGAUUGGCGGGUUGCACUUCCAGGGGUGCUUGUUCUUUGUGUCCUGAGCAGGGUGACCAGAUGUCCCGAUUUUAUAGGGACAGUCCCGAUUUUUGGGUCUUUUUCUUAAGUAGGCUCCUAUUACCCCCCAACCCCCAUCUCGAUUUUUCAUAUUUGCUGUCUGGUCAUCCUAGUCCUGAGCCCUAAGAGCCCCAGUAAACAACCAGGAACCCACUGUGGGAGGUGUUGUACAGACACAAAACAAAGACAGUCCCUGCUUCAGAGAGCUUACAAGGGGGUUGCCAUGGGUGAAGCUGCCCCUUGGGGAAACUAGUCUCUGGCCCCGUCUCCUCCAGCCGAGACCAUGCCCAUGCUCCCUGCUCUCAGCCCCCCAUGGCCCCAGCCAGGGCGGAGGAAGGCUGGGAGCUGGGUUGGGGCCACAGCGGCAGGGCUGAGAACUCGGCCCUGGGCAGGGUCGAGCUCUCAGCCUUGGCUGGGAGAGCAGCAGAGCUCUCGUCCCUGGCUGGAGCUCUGAUCCCAGAGUCCCUCCCCCAUUUUGCCCAUGGCCUUACCCCCAUACGGCCUCUUCCCCCAUACGGACCCAGCCCCAUUCCGCCGCUUCCCCUGCCCUCAUUCCUUUCCCAUUCUGCCUCUUCCUCCUGAGGUCCUGUCCCCUGCUCGGCUUGCUCCUUCUUCCACCCCCAGCGGCCCUGAGACUGGAAAAGCUCUGUGAUGGUGCCACUGCCCCGGGGCCGAGGAGGGGGGAGAUUUUUCCAUGGGCCCCAAAUCCGCCACUGUCCUCCACUGAUGGCAUAAGGUUUGGGGAGGCUUAGCCUCCCCCAGCCUCCAUUAUGCACUCCCCAUGGGGCUUUUGAAAAUCUCACACCUAACUACUGUUUAAACUCUGCCUUUCUUAGCUGUGCCCACUUUCCAUUCAGCCACAUUUCCUUUCUCUCUGACUGUACCCCUUGCUCCCCACAUGAGAAAAUUGUAUUUAUGGCACAUAUACUUACGGUAAAAUAGCUGGUGUGACUAAGGGAAGGCUGAUAAUGAAAAGAGAUAUCACUUUAUAGUGUAAUUCCAAUAGGUGUCAGAGGUACAGGCCAACGUAAGCAAGCUUAGGCUGAAUGGGAGAUGACCAAAGAAAACCCAGCAGUUUCAGGAAGCAGUGCGGAUGAUGCAAUAUGUAACUAUUUAAAUAUUUAUCAAGAAUGGAAGUCAUUGGUCCAGAGAGAGAAAGUGUGGAAUGACUCUGUAGCCUGGUGCCUAGGGCACUCAAUCUGACAGGUUAUUGUUCCAUGUCAUUUACAGACUUUCAUACAAACUACUACCAAAGACACAAAUUGGAUCUGGCUUGGACUCAUCAUUACAUCCCCCAAGAGGAAAAGGAUUUGAGUGGAUGGCUCCCUCUUAAAUCAAACACUGUUGAAGGUAGUGGAUCCUGCUGAAAGGAACAGCUCUGGGGUGAUAAAAGCAGAUGAUAAUCAUUUUGAAAGCUGCACUACUGUAUCUAAAUGAAUUUGUGAAAAAGACACUCUCCUGAUGUAGACAGAGACAUUAGUGAUCUGCACUUCUGUGUGUGAACGAUAAAUCUUCUUUAGUUUCAGUCUGUCACAUGAAUGAUGAAU
This is a long non-coding RNA of Mauremys mutica (yellowpond turtle), 1626 nucleotides long. RefSeq lists it as uncharacterized. The record is from RefSeq and is a predicted model, not a curated record. NCBI's taxonomy places the organism in Eukaryota, Metazoa, Chordata, Testudines, Geoemydidae. The transcript has 3 exons.